Non-coding RNA from Pelobates cultripes (western spadefoot toad), 239 nucleotides. The record is from the annotation of a GenBank genome assembly. NCBI's taxonomy places the organism in Eukaryota, Metazoa, Chordata, Amphibia, Anura, Pelobatidae.
GGAAAGUUACAUAAAAUGUUGAUUUCAGUCACAGAAACACAUAUCAGACAAAAACAAAUUAAACGGAACAAUAACUCUCUUCCUUUCCCCUCCAGAACUACUGAUCAAGUGAGAGAAAAUGCUUUGAGUAGAUUGCUGUCCAGGGAUACCUAAAUAUUAUGUAAAUUUACAAAAUACAUUAUUUGUUUUGUUUUAUUCCCCAUUAUUCCUCCCAAUGAAGAGCUUUUGGAGGAUUAAAA